CAGAGAGAGAGGGGGUGAGAUACAGAGAGAGAGGGGGUGAGACAGACAGAGAGCGAGAGGGGUGAGAGACAGAGAGAGAGAGAGGGGUGAGAGACAGAGAUAGAGAGGGGUGAGACAGACAGAGAUAGAGAGGGGUGAGAGACAGAGAUAGAGAGGGGUGAGAGACAGAGAGAGAGAGGGGUGAGAGACAGAGAUAGAGAGGGGUGAGACAGACAGAGAUAGAGAGGGGUGAGAUACAGAGAGAGAGAGGGGGGUGAGAGACAGAGAUAGAGAGGGGUGAGAUACAGAGAGAGAGAGGGGUGAGACAGACAGAGAUAGAGAGGGGUGAGAUACAGAGAGAGAGAGGGGUGAGACAGACAGAGAUAGAGAGGGGUGAGAUACAGAGAGACAGA
Molecule: long non-coding RNA, 392 nt
Organism: Oncorhynchus tshawytscha (Chinook salmon)
Lineage: Eukaryota; Metazoa; Chordata; Actinopteri; Salmoniformes; Salmonidae
Source: Ensembl